GUUUUCUGUUUUGUGUAUUGCACCUUGCAGAACUGUUCGGUUGUUGUUUUUCUCUCCAAGUAUUCAUAUUUAUUAAAAGGUAUUAUGAAUACUUACCACGCUGCACCUUGGUCUUCUCCUUCUCAGGACAACAGCCGUUACAGGUGCCAUCCCGGGCUUCAUGCUGGGUGUGUUCCAGAUCCCUCUAAAUGAUUGUGAGGAGCUCUACAGGAGCUGGGUUCUGACGCCUUCAAGAAGAACGUCAUCGUUGGCACCAUCAAGAUGGGCUGGAGCCAUUUCUUCUGCGACUCGCAGACCUUGGAGCAAAUCCUCAAAGAAAAUGGGCUCUGAUCUGAUGGUGGAAACAUCAAGAAACCCCAAAUGCCCAAAGUUAAGCUUUGUCACAUGGCAUGACUCAUUACACUGUCUGGAGUGUGGUGCUGAUGAUCUCACACACACACACACACACCCACACACACACACACACACACACACCCUCUCAUGGAUGGCAAGGUGGACAAUGAGGAAGGAAGGCCCUCACAAUUUCUUAAAGGUCCUAGUAGUCAUUUUUAUUUCAAUAUCAAAUCAUUUCUCGGUAACAAUUGAGUACCUUACUGUGAUUGUUUUCAAUUAUGGUCAAAAAUAAACAAAAAUAGAUUUUUAGCAAAGGGCAAUUUCUCAAGCAAGAUUUUUGCUAGGACUGCCUGGGAGUGGUCUGAGUAGAGAGGGGAAAACUGAAAAUGUGCUUUUAUUGGCAGAGAGAUUUGGAACUCCCUUUCUUAGUGUUUUUACACGUAGUCCCUUUCAGCCAAAUGUUUGUGAACUCAGUGCAGUUUGCAGAAUUUGUUUGUGCAGUGUGAACACUCCAAAGGGACUCAAACCCCUCAAAAGAGCCCCGAAACUAACUGAACUUAGAGCCAUCUCGAGAGGGGGUCUGAGUUUGGUUUUGGUUCGAGAGGGGGUCUGAGUUUGGUUCGAGAGGGGGUUUGGUUUUGGUUCGAGAGGGGGUCUGAGUUUGGUUUUGGCUCGAGAGGGGGUCUGAGUUUGGUUCG
Non-coding RNA from Oncorhynchus mykiss (rainbow trout), 1031 nucleotides. The record is from RefSeq and is a predicted model, not a curated record. Lineage: Eukaryota; Metazoa; Chordata; Actinopteri; Salmoniformes; Salmonidae.